RNAcentral lists this ribosomal RNA (1436 nucleotides) under Streptomyces cellostaticus. RNAcentral describes it as "bacterial SSU rRNA". It matches the Rfam family "Bacterial small subunit ribosomal RNA". Lineage: Bacteria; Bacillati; Actinomycetota; Actinomycetes; Kitasatosporales; Streptomycetaceae. The record is from RNAcentral.
GGGCAGUGGCGGGCGUCUUACACAUGCAAGUCGAACGAUGAACCUCCUUCGGGAGGGGAUUAGUGGCGAACGGGUGAGUAACACGUGGGCAAUCUGCCCUUCACUCUGGGACAAGCCCUGGAAACGGGGUCUAAUACCGGAUACCACUCUCGCAGGCAUCUGUGAGGGUUGAAAGCUCCGGCGGUGAAGGAUGAGCCCGCGGCCUAUCAGCUUGUUGGUGAGGUAACGGCUCACCAAGGCGACGACGGGUAGCCGGCCUGAGAGGGCGACCGGCCACACUGGGACUGAGACACGGCCCAGACUCCUACGGGAGGCAGCAGUGGGGAAUAUUGCACAAUGGGCGAAAGCCUGAUGCAGCGACGCCGCGUGAGGGAUGACGGCCUUCGGGUUGUAAACCUCUUUCAGCAGGGAAGAAGCGAAAGUGACGGUACCUGCAGAAGAAGCGCCGGCUAACUACGUGCCAGCAGCCGCGGUAAUACGUAGGGCGCAAGCGUUGUCCGGAAUUAUUGGGCGUAAAGAGCUCGUAGGCGGCUUGUCACGUCGGGUGUGAAAGCCCGGGGCUUAACCCCGGGUCUGCAUUCGAUACGGGCUAGCUAGAGUGUGGUAGGGGAGAUCGGAAUUCCUGGUGUAGCGGUGAAAUGCGCAGAUAUCAGGAGGAACACCGGUGGCGAAGGCGGAUCUCUGGGCCAUUACUGACGCUGAGGAGCGAAAGCGUGGGGAGCGAACAGGAUUAGAUACCCUGGUAGUCCACGCCGUAAACGGUGGGAACUAGGUGUUGGCGACAUUCCACGUCGUCGGUGCCGCAGCUAACGCAUUAAGUUCCCCGCCUGGGGAGUACGGCCGCAAGGCUAAAACUCAAAGGAAUUGACGGGGGCCCGCACAAGCAGCGGAGCAUGUGGCUUAAUUCGACGCAACGCGAAGAACCUUACCAAGGCUUGACAUACACCGGAAAGCAUUAGAGACAGGGGCCCCCUUGUGGUCGGUGUACAGGUGGUGCAUGGCUGUCGUCAGCUCGUGUCGUGAGAUGUUGGGUUAAGUCCCGCAACGAGCGCAACCCUUGUUCUGUGUUGCCAGCAUGCCCUUCGGGGUGAUGGGGACUCACAGGAGACCGCCGGGGUCAACUCGGAGGAAGGUGGGGACGACGUCAAGUCAUCAUGCCCCUUAUGUCUUGGGCUGCACACGUGCUACAAUGGCCGGUACAAAGAGCUGCGAUACCGUAAGGUGGAGCGAAUCUCAAAAAGCCGGUCUCAGUUCGGAUUGGGGUCUGCAACUCGACCCCAUGAAGUCGGAGUUGCUAGUAAUCGCAGAUCAGCAUUGCUGCGGUGAAUACGUUCCCGGGCCUUGUACACACCGCCCGUCACGUCACGAAAGUUGGUAACACCCGAAGCCGGUGGCCCAACCCCUUGUGGGAGGGAGCUGUCGAAGGUGAAUCGCUU